Capsicum annuum is the source of this 107-nucleotide small nucleolar RNA. The record is from RefSeq and is a predicted model, not a curated record. Lineage: Eukaryota; Viridiplantae; Streptophyta; Magnoliopsida; Solanales; Solanaceae.
UGAUGGUGAUGCGGGAAAUCACGGAGCAUAGACUUGAAUCUUUCCCAAGCUUGGUACAGAUUCUCACUAUUUCUUUAUCUGAAACUUAAAAUUUCACUCCUCAAUCA